AUUGAACGCUGGCGGAAUGCUUUACACAUGCAAGUCGAGCGGCAGCGCGGGGGCAACCCUGGCGGCGAGCGGCGAACGGGUGAGUAACAUAUCGGAACGUACCCCGUCGUGGGGAUAACACAGCGAAAGCUGUGCUAAUACCGCAUACGACCUGAGGGUGAAAGCGGGGGAUCGCAAGACCUCGCGCGAUGGGAGCGGCCGAUAUCGGAUUAGCUUGUUGGUGAGGUAAAGGCUCACCAAGGCGACGAUCCGUAGCUGGUCUGAGAGGACGACCAGCCACACUGGAACUGAGACACGGUCCAGACUCCUACGGGAGGCAGCAGUGGGGAAUUUUGGACAAUGGGGGCAACCCUGAUCCAGCCAUUCCGCGUGAGUGAAGAAGGCCUGG
RNAcentral lists this ribosomal RNA (388 nucleotides) under uncultured bacterium. RNAcentral describes it as "bacterial SSU rRNA". It matches the Rfam family "Bacterial small subunit ribosomal RNA", at positions 29 to 419 of the family's 1533-position model. The record is from RNAcentral.